This is a long non-coding RNA of Apis cerana (Asiatic honeybee), 3251 nucleotides long. RefSeq lists it as uncharacterized. The record is from RefSeq and is a predicted model, not a curated record. Lineage: Eukaryota; Metazoa; Arthropoda; Insecta; Hymenoptera; Apidae.
GUCAAUAUGGUUCCACGCGUACAUGAUGUCUCUGUCAAAUGCGAAUGCUUGGUGUGAAAUGAAUAUUUAUUGACGUGAAUAUCGCCGAUUACGACAAUCUGACAUCAAGUCUGAAAUGUUUUGCUGUGUUUAUGAAUUAUAAAUCUUAUAAAUCGUGAUGUCUGCUAUCAAGGAUUAAGGAUAAUAGAAACUUGACAAAUGAAGAAAUAAAGUUCUAAUAAAUAUAGAUGGAGAGAUUUAUUGAGCUGAUAAAUCAUCAGGUAUCAAGAGAAAAAGAAAUUUUUUAUGGAAAAUUUCUAGAAAUUCCGUGAAGCAAUGGCAUUUUUUAAAGAUUUAAAGAUUCUUCGAUAAUUCACUAAUCGAUUUCUAAUUAUACGAUUGGAUUUCAUUCAACUGUAAAUAUCUUCAAGUUUAUGAGGUCAUGUUGAAAGGAGGAAUCGAUGGAAUUUAUUGGCUUUUAUUGGAAUAUGGCAAAGGCCAAAAUGAAGGUCUUUCAAUUGGUUGUACAAAUCUCUAGUUAGUCAUAUUUCCAAUUUAAUAGAGUUAGUAAGUACAUACAAAUCUUUGGGCUAUAUUCUAAAAUAGCAAUAAAUUUAGUUAAAAUCAUGUUACACGAAUAUGUUACAAAAUAGGAAAACAUUCAAGUUUUCUUUUUUUUCUUGGCUUGAGAAACUGAAACCAUGAAUAAAUGAAUGAAAUAGAUCAUUCUAAAUAUUAAAUAAACAUUAAAAUUUUUCAUUGCAAGUUUUUAAGAGUUGUGAAAGCUAAAUCUGUGAAAAUGUUUUUGAAAAUUAUUUUAAAAAUUUAUCAAAUUCUAAUUAUUAUUUAUAUUAUUUAAAUUAUAUAUAAAUAGCAAUUUUUUCCUUUAAUAUUAAAACUCAUCAAACUCAUCACUUUUUUUUUCUUAACUUUUAUUUUCUUGAUCUAUCUUUAUUUUCUUUAUUAAGAAAUUAUUAAUUGGUGAUACUAAGUAAGUUCCCUUUCUUUCUCCCUUUUCGAAACUUCUCAAAGAAGAUCCUUUCAGAUGCUUAUCGAUUUCCCUCGAAAACUCUUCGGUAUCUUUAACAUUGAAACUUCGUUAUUUUAUUGAGACAACGUCGAGGAAACGCGAUUAUGAGUUUCAAAUGAAAGUUUCAACGCCGUCCAAAUACAAGAAUCGAGGAUAAUCUAGUGAUGUCGACCCACUUGCAACUAAAAUUUAUUACUCGCAUCCGAGCCCUAUCAUCUUCGAUCGGUGAAAAUAGCUUUUCUUCUUUCUCAUGAUGCUUAUUUCCGCCUGCAUGAACGAUGUCGGUUAUUUUCUAUCUUCGCACUUCGUCCCAACGUUCACUCAUUUCUUCUCAGAUUUUUUAUUCUCAUGAUUGAAGUAUUGACUGAAAAGAAAUAAGAUUCAUGAGAAUCUGAGUAGAAAAAGUUGUUAUGACAUUUUAAUUGAUUAAUCAUAAAAAACUUUGUAGAAAAAAAUUUAUUCAAAAAUUUGUAUCUUUUGCGAAAAGAAAUUAUAUUUUUCACACUCUGCUUAGAAUAUCAAAUCGAUAGAAAAUUAAUAUUCUCCGCUCUGCGAAGUCACGAAAAGAAGUACCGGCAAUUAUAUUUCUCCAUCAAAUGUUUUUCGUCGAAAAAAAAAAAGAAUGAAAUGCAUUCCGCAUGGUUUGUUAUGCAAACGAGCAGAAGCUGUGCAGGGUCGGUUCGAAUUGGAAUCUCCCUUGCGAAUCAGUCUGAAAACACUUGGCCGAACAGAACGAACGAACUGUCAAGCGAAGCACGUAUGUUCCCUAAUUACACGCACGGGACGCGUGCGUACACCAUUUCGAACAAGUCCGAAGCCCUUGGUACAUCGGUUCGUUACGCACCGGAUCGGACUACAAUUUACGUAGUCGUUUACCGUGUCCAGGCACGCUUGUACGCGUUAAUCGUGACUUAUUUCGAUUCUUCGAUUGUAACCGCGUUAACGCUUGCAAAUCUGUUUCCAUUUUACUCCUAUUCUCUUACUGCGUGUUCGAUCCGAAGGGAGAAAGCGAAAUCAGAGAGAAUUAAAUACGAAUGUAAUUAUCAGAUUGAUGAGAAUUUCGUUUUUUAUAUUAUAAAUAUAACAAAGGUUUUUUUUUUUAAUUUUGAGAAGAGAAAUUUAAACGUAUUAAUUUAGAUAAUAAAUUAAUAAUGAAGAAAUAGUGUUGGUUUAUUAAAAUUUAGAUUAAUUUUUGAAAUGUAGAUUAAUUACUAAUAAAAUAUAAACGUUUCUUUACGUUUAAAUUCUUCAAAUUAUUGUAGAUAUAUUUCGAUAUAUUUUCACUUUCCAAUUUCACUGGUUCGUGAAAUGUAUAAAAAAAAUCAUUAUCUCUGGGAAUACAAAAGUUAUUUAAGAAUCUAGAGAUAAUGAAAAAUUCUGAAAAUUUUAAAUUACAAUUGAAGGUUUGAAUUUUCUUUUCCAAUUAAAAAUAAUUUAGUGUUAUAGAUUUAAUCAGAAGAAAGUGAAAUUGAACAGAAGAAAGUUGUUACGCACAGAUGUGAUUUCCAUGUGUUGCUCUUUUCACCGUGACCACUUUCUUCUAUUUGAUCCAAGUGUCACGCGUUCCAGCACUUUGUCAUUUUACGUAACGACUUGUCUUUAUUCGUAUAAUACGGGAAAAAUUUAUUCGCGUCACGUUAAAAAUUAUUUUUUUUAACGAAUCUAUUAUCUCUUGUACAAAUUAUAUUUAUAAGAUUUGCACAUUUGGUUGAACGUGUCAGCAUCAUGAGAGCAAUUGCGUGUCAUAUCACAUUAGGAAAAUUUACACAAUUAUCUGAUUCCGAAUUGAUGCUCUAGGCAACGAUGUGAAUUAAUCGUGAUUUCAUCUGAUCAAGCUUGAAUAAACUUGCUUGUAUUUCUGCUUAACGAUAUACUUGUUCAUGAUAAAUUGAUUGCGCAGCUAAACUUUGCACUCAUUGAUCCUAACUUAUUGCAACAUUGAACGAUUAUAUUCUGUUUAGACUCUAUCAAAAAAUAAAUAUUUAAGAGUUGAAAGAUUUAUAGUGUUCGUACCAAUUAGAAUCUGUAUUAAUUCUUUUGAAAUGUGAAAUUAUUUAUGUAAUUUUAUACGUAGAAAGAACAUUAAGCUAUGUGCUAAUAAAUAAUAUUAAAAUAAUUAAAGAGAUCAAUAUUGAAAUUAUAUAGAUCUAAGAAAAAAAUAUUGUAUUGAAACAUAUUAUUAAGAAUAUAAAGAAAGAAAAUAUUAAAUAGAAAUAAUAAAACAAAAUUUGAUUUUUACAAA